UGCCGCGUGAGUGAUGAAGGCCUUCGGGUUGUAAAGCUCUUUUGCCCGGGAUGAUAAUGACGGUACCGGGAGAAUAAACUCCGGCUAACUCCGUGCCAGCAGCCGCGGUAAUACGGACGGAGCUAGCGUUGUUCGGAAUUACUGGGCGUAAAGCGCACGUAGGCGGCUUUGUAAGUUAGAGGUGAAAGCCUGGAGCUCAACUCCCCAAUUGCCUUUAAGACUGCAUCGCUUGAAUCCAGGAGAGGUGAGUGGAAUUCCAAGUGUGGAGGUGAAAUUCAUAGAUCUUCUGAAGAACACCACUGGCGAAGGCGGCUCACAUGACUGGUACUGACGCUGAGGUGCGAAAGCGUGGGGAGCAAACCGGAUUAGAUACCCUGGUAUGCCACGCCGUAAACGAUGAUAACUAGCUGUCCGGGGACUUGGUCUUUGGGUGGCGCAUCUCACGCAUUAAGUUAUCCGCCUGGGGAGUACGGCCGCAAGGUUAAAACUUAAAUGAAUUGACGGGGGCCUGCACAAGCGGUGGAGCAUGUGGUUUAAUUCUAAAUCAACGCGCAAAACCUUACCAGCGUUUGACAUGUGCCGGACAAUCUCUGGCAGACAGAUCUCUUCCCUUCCGGGACU
Molecule: ribosomal RNA, 621 nt
Filed under: Sphingomonadaceae bacterium Ri2Pt_4108
Lineage: Bacteria; Pseudomonadati; Pseudomonadota; Alphaproteobacteria; Sphingomonadales; Sphingomonadaceae
Description: bacterial SSU rRNA
Rfam family: Bacterial small subunit ribosomal RNA
Source: RNAcentral